Beta vulgaris subsp. vulgaris (sugar beet) is the source of this 877-nucleotide long non-coding RNA. RefSeq lists it as uncharacterized. The record is from RefSeq and is a predicted model, not a curated record. Lineage: Eukaryota; Viridiplantae; Streptophyta; Magnoliopsida; Caryophyllales; Amaranthaceae. The transcript is spliced from 3 exons.
AAAAUAAUUAAAUCGAAAAAAAAACUGCCCCAACUAAAAAUUCGGAGCACUUAUACAUAUCUUUUUCAAGUUUAGUUGGCAGUUGCUGUAUACCCCUCACCAUUGCUACCUCCAGUUCCCCUUUCUACCUUCGGCUCUCAUCUCCGAUGACAAUUCCCGUGUCAAAUUCCAUUGCAGCAGACAACUUCAUUCGGCCUGUGACAAAUUUAUAUCCGACGACAAGUCCCGUGUCAAAUUUCAUUUUCACUUCACUGAAACCCUAAUAUUUCUCUCUCUUACUCUCAGUCUCUGCUCUUUCUCCCAAAAAAUCUUGCUGCUAGGUGCUAAUCGAUCUACUGGAAUCGUUCUACUAAUCGGGCCAAUCAAAUACUCAAGUUAAACUAUUAGAUUAUUCAACACGAAUUUCGUGCGAAUCACAAGUUUUGAGUGCCCUCGUCAACCGCUUGGUACUCUAAACUGUGGAUAUUGUGUGUGUCGCUACAUGCUUGAGACGGUACAGUUGAGAGGACUAUUUAUUCCUGAUAAGUACUAUCAAGGCAUUGGUCCAAACUAUUCUCAGGAGAAAAUUGAUGAACUCAGGGAGUUGUGGAUUACAUAUGUCGGAGAUCAACAUGAAGCACAAAUGAUGAAUGAGUUAUAACUUUCCGCCUAUUUUUUUUUAACCUUAAUCCACUUUUGGACAUACAUUAUAUUUUUGGAUUUGGAUAUUGAUAUAGGAUAUAUUUGAUCUUGUUUAUGAUUUAGAUUAAUAUUGAUAUAUAUGUAUAUAUAGUAGUUCUUUUUAGAAGUUUAGAUUUAUGAAUAUUAGUUGAAUUAUUUUGUAAUAUAAAGAAUUUUGGAAGUUUGGAAUAUCAAUUCAAUUUAUUGGUUAAGAUCU